CAGUAGCCGCGGUAAUACGAAGGGUGCAAGCGUUACUCGGAAUUACUGGGCGUAAAGCGUGCGUAGGUGGUGGUUUAAGUCCGUUGUGAAAGCCCUGGGCUCAACCUGGGAAUUGCAGUGGAUACUGGGUCACUAGAGUGUGGUAGAGGAUAGUGGAAUUUCCGGUGUAGCAGUGAAAUGCGUAGAGAUCGGAAGGAACAUCUGUGGCGAAGGCGACUACCUGGGCCAACACUGACACUGAGGCACGAAAGCGUGGGGAGCAAACAGGAUUAGAGACCCCUGUAGUCCCUGUCUCUUAUAC
This 301-nucleotide ribosomal RNA is filed under the name uncultured bacterium. RNAcentral's name for it is "partial 16S ribosomal RNA". It matches the Rfam family "Bacterial small subunit ribosomal RNA", at positions 509 to 807 of the family's 1533-position model. The record is from RNAcentral.